Molecule: non-coding RNA, 25 nt
Filed under: Trichophyton rubrum
Lineage: Eukaryota; Fungi; Ascomycota; Eurotiomycetes; Onygenales; Arthrodermataceae
Also listed under: 5 other names
Source: RNAcentral
GGGUGAACCUGCGGAAGGAUCAUUA